This 253-nucleotide unclassified non-coding RNA is filed under the name uncultured Caryophanales bacterium. RNAcentral describes it as "uncultured Bacillales bacterium contains 16S-23S intergenic spacer region". It matches the Rfam family "Bacterial small subunit ribosomal RNA", at positions 524 to 776 of the family's 1533-position model. The record is from RNAcentral. Lineage: Bacteria; Bacillati; Bacillota; Bacilli; Caryophanales.
UACGUAGGGGGCAAGCGUUGUCCGGAAUUAUUGGGCGUAAAGCGCGCGCAGGCGACCUCUUAAGUCUGAUGUGAAAGCCGCGGGCUCAACCGGGUAGGGCCAUUGGAAACUGGCAGGCUAGAGUAUGGGAGAGAAGAGUGGAAUUCCACGUGUAGCGGUGAAAUGCGUAGAGAUGUGGAGGAACACCAGUGGCGAAGGCGACUCUUUGGCCUAUAACUGACGCUGAGGCGCGAAAGCGUGGGGAGCAAACAGG